CAAGUGGGUCGGGCGGUCGCUGGUAAAUUUAUUUACCAGAGGAAAGUCCGAGCAGGAUAGGGCACGGUGGUGGCUAAUGACCACCCGGGGUAACUCGAGGGACAGUGCAACAGAAAACACACAGCCGAUGAGCCUGACUUGUCAGGAAACAGGCAAUGGUGAAAUGGUGCGGUAAGAGCGCACCGCGGUGUUGGUGACAGCACCGGCAGGGUAAACCCCACCGCCUGCAAAACCAAAUAAGCUGUUGUCCGCGGCCCGGACUAUAACAGCGGGUAGGUUGCUUGUCGAUUAAUCGGCAGAGCCAACUGGUAACAGAUGGUCUAGUCAAAUGACCGCCACCAGUGAACACUGGGACAGAACUCGGCUUACAGACCCACUUUUUUC
This 384-nucleotide RNase P RNA is filed under the name Planctomycetota bacterium. Its description in RNAcentral is "Planctomycetes bacterium (marine sediment metagenome) RNase P RNA component class A". It matches the Rfam family "Bacterial RNase P class A". Rfam says of the family: Ribonuclease P (RNase P) is a ubiquitous endoribonuclease, found in archaea, bacteria and eukarya as well as chloroplasts and mitochondria. Its best characterised activity is the generation of mature 5'-ends of tRNAs by cleaving the 5'-leader elements of precursor-tRNAs. Lineage: Bacteria; Pseudomonadati; Planctomycetota. The record is from RNAcentral.